RNA transcript from Cottoperca gobio, 4151 nucleotides. It is a transcript of the gene named enhancer of zeste 1 polycomb repressive complex 2 subunit, with no coding region annotated. The transcript is spliced from 20 exons. Lineage: Eukaryota; Metazoa; Chordata; Actinopteri; Perciformes; Bovichtidae. The record is from RefSeq and is a predicted model, not a curated record.
GCAUUUAGAUGGCGAUCUAGUACUCUGGACAGUUGCAUCAGUUCCUGUGCGUGCGUGUAAAUGGCUGUGCUGUGGCUGCUGCUCCACGCUACUUUUUAUUCCCUAGACGCAGAAUAGUAAUAAAUCCUCCUCGGCUAGGAAAGGCUGUGAUCAUAAUAAAGACGUCACCCUCCUGCUCGGGUUGGCUCGACAAAGCCAAGUGCGCAGCUAUUUGUAAGCUACAACAACAACAACCUCCAGCACCAUGCCCAUGGAUAACGUAGGGAUUUCUCUGCGAUCCCCUCGCCGUGCGGAGACGAUAUCUGCGUCAGAUCCAUAGCAAAGCAAACCUUUAAUUGCUCCGGAUCUCUCGACUGUUAAAAAAAAAUCAGACAGUGACUUGAUCUCUUUGCAGUCUCUUCGCGACAAAUAGGACUCAAGCCGUGGAUUUGAAGAGUCAUGGAGGAAACAGCUGUUGCAACUCCAGCUCCUGGUGCCGCUGCUGCCCCAGCAACCCCAAAACCUCCACCUUCCUCCUUUGUACCCUCCCGCAGCUUACUAGAGUGGAGACGGAGGGUCAAGUCUGAGUAUAUGCGCCUUCGCCAAUUAAAACGCCUUAAAAAAGUAGAGGAGGUCAAGACCCUGUUCAUGUCCAACAGGCAAAAUAUUGAGGAGAAGACAAAUCUCCUGAAUGCAGAGUGGUCCAGACUCAGGAUUCAGACCAUUCCUCUGUCAACGUCUGGUGGACCUCUGGCCAACAAGAAGAUGUGUACAGUGGAGUUUGGCUUCCCAGAAUUCAAAGCUCAAGCCAUUGCCAUGAGACCACUGUCAACAGUGGCAGGGAUCCCCUUCAUGUACUCCUGGUCGCCUCUGCAGCACAACUUCAUGGUGGAGGAUGACACGUUCCUCCACAACAUCCCAUACAUGGGUGAUGAGGUGCUGGACCAGGACGAGGCCUUCUUAGAGGAACUCAUCGAUAACUACGAUGGUGUCCAUGGUGACAGAGAGGGGGGGUUUAUCAACGACGAGGUCUUUAAAGAGCUGGUGGAGGCCUUGUGCCAGUACUCGGACCACGAGGAAGAGGAAGAGGAGGAAGCAGCGGUGACAACGGCGGCGAUAGAGGUGACGGGAAAGAAGGAGGACGAGAGAGUGAUGAGGAGGAGCUCAGCGGAGGGUUCAGAAGAGACCAAACCUGGUGCUGCAGCAUUCAUCAGGAGGAAGAGGAGGAGCACUACUGAGGUGAGGGACCUGUCCAGCAGCAAGAAGGUCCCCAACGAUAAGAUAUUUACAGCCAUCGCCUCAAUGUUCCCUUAUAAGGGCACCACGGAGGAGCUGAAGGAAAAGUACAAGGGCCUCUUGGAGCCCCCGCGCCCGGUUAAGCUGCCCCCACUCUGCACCCCAAACCUAGACGGACCUUUUGCUAAGUCUGUACAGCGGGAGCAGUCGUUACACUCCUUCCACACGCUCUUCUGCAGACGUUGCUUUAAAUACGACUGUUUCCUCCACCCUUUCCAUGCUACACCCAAUGUUUACAAGAGGAAGAUAAAGGAGAUCCGCAUAGAGACUGAACCAUGUGGCGUAGACUGCUUCCUGUUACAGAAAGGGGCUAAAGAGUUUGUGGAUCAAAAUAUGCUGCGGUCACCAAAGUCUCGGAGGCGCCAAAGGCAGCAGCGCCCCACCAGCUCCAGCUGUCCUGGACCGUCUGCAUCUGCUGAGGAAGUACAAGAGAGUGACCAUGAAGCCACUUCCUCCUCCGAGGAGAAUUCGCGAUGCCAGACUCCCACCAAGCUGCGUCCAGGGGUUGAUGACGGGGAGACGAGCUGUGUGGUCCAGUGGAGCGGGGCGGAGGAGUCCCUGUUCAGAGUGCUACACGGCACAUACUUCAACAACUUCUGCUCCAUCGCUCGCCUCAUCGGUACCAAGAACUGCAAGGAGGUGUACGAGUUUGCGGUGAAGGAGGUCCUGGUCCAUCGUGUUCCUUUGGUUGAUGGAGGCAUCGCGCCCCAGAAGAAGAAACGGAAACACAGGUUAUGGGCUAAGAUUCAGCUAAAGAAAGAUAACUCGUCCAAUCAGGUGUACAAAUACCAACCAUGUGAUCACCCCGACCAUCCAUGCGACAGCUCCUGCCCAUGUGUGAUGAGCCAGAAUUUCUGUGAGAAGUUCUGCCAGUGCGAGCAGGAGUGCCAGAACCGCUUCCCGGGCUGCAGGUGUAAGACACAGUGCAACACUAAGCAGUGUCCCUGCUACCUGGCUGUGAGGGAAUGUGACCCGGAUCUGUGCAUGAGCUGCGGCACUGCAGAGCACUGGGACAGCAAAAUGAUCUCCUGCAAGAACUGCAGCAUCCAGAGGGGGCUAAAAAAGCACCUGCUUUUGGCUCCAUCAGAUGUGGCAGGAUGGGGCACCUUCAUCAAAGAGUCAGUUCAGAAGAAUGAGUUCAUCUCUGAAUACUGCGGAGAGCUGAUCUCCCAGGAUGAGGCAGACCGACGUGGAAGGAUUUAUGACAAAUACAUGUCUAGCUUCCUUUUCAACUUGAACAAUGACUUCGUGGUGGAUGCCACCCGAAAGGGGAACAAAAUCCGGUUUGCAAAUCAUUCAGUUAAUCCCAACUGCUACGCAAAAGUGGUAAUGGUAAAUGGAGACCAUCGCAUUGGAAUCUUUGCCAAACGAGCUAUUCUACAAGGAGAGGAGCUAUUCUUCGACUACAGGUAGAGUCACAGGCCUUUUAGUGACUCUCCAUCAGCUGCAAAGUAAAACAGAAAAGAUCAGAUACAGCCAAGCGGAUGCCCUCAAAUAUGUGGGGAUCGAGAGAGAGGCAGAGAUGAAUUAGCUACACCGGAUGCCUACCUCCGUCACCUGCCCCUGAAUCCUCAGCCACCCACUAAUGGUUUUGUCCCUCUCUGUAGCGUCACAUCUAGAAGAGGAGUUUCUAUGAACAGUCGCAGUCUCUUCCCUCUCUCGUGCACUUCUGAAAAUAGAGAGUCCCUCCGUAUUGUUAGCAGGCGCUCCCUGCAGACACCACACCAUCUCCUUCAGUGACAGCAGUCAGCUCUCCCUCUCAUCUUCCCAAACCCACCCACCUACCUGCAAGAGUGUAUACGCCAAGCUUAUGAAAUUAAACUAUUUAAAGUGGAAAUACUAUUAAUCUGUAUCGCUUACUGCUCCAAGAGGGUCACAUGUUUAGUUUUUUUCAUUUCAUCUUGUUAAAGCAAAGAGGUUGUGAUUAUCCAUUAUUCAAGUGUGUUACUCGCUAAGAAGUUUUGUUACUGUACUUAUAGACCGGCUUUUGUUUGACCUCUCAAUACGUAAUGCAAGCUUUUACAUCGUACCUAAUGAUGAUCAGUGAAAUGCAUGUGCUGUCUCUUGGAUAAACAAACCAUUAAACAUGUUAGCCACAGCGUUAGCUUCAGACAGACUCUGCUCUGUGCAGUCUCUCAGUUAUGUAGUGUGAUGUUACCCACUGCCUGUUCGUCAGAAGAUCUUGACCACGUUUGACAGCUUUGUGUGUGCUUCUAUGAACCUUUUCAGCAGCUAGCAUCAGCACCACGUCUCUAUGGUGAAAUAAGUUAUUGUGCAUUUAUAUCAUUGUUCUGCAAAAAUAGGCAACCAAGACAAGAAACCGACUGACUGAAUGUAACCUCUAGACGAUGGUGAAGAGAUCUCAUCCCUCUUUUCAUUUUACACAUUAACCCAUUCUAUUGGUACUCUGAGCAACGUUCAUGCACAUCCAACAUUUAUCGUCAUGUUUACAUGAUCUUGAGGCCUUCACACUUUUUGUGAAGGAAAUAAUUAAUACAUUAACAAGUCACACAGUAAAUGUCUUCCUUGUAAGUGCCAAAUGAUUCCACACAGGAAAAGGCUGAAGGUGUGGAUGUGUUGCAUAAUUAACAGGUAAAAUGUAAAAGGUAACCGUUGCAAGGUUAUAACCAUGGGAAAAGCAAAAUUAUCAGUGUUUGACCAAAUAUUAAAGUCCCCCACAUGUGAAUGUAAAAUAUCUUUCAUCAUCUUUAUUUUUUUUAUAUGUCCAGAUUUGUUAUUCACCCUGUUUUUCAUUUAUAAAACAUUAAAGCCCACUUUGAAACGAGAUCUUUCUCAAUAGGGAUGAACAAAAUGGAGUUUACUGCUAUGUACAGUGUAUGCCUAUAAAAAUAAAAGUUUAACUUUAUACAUUAAAA